RNAcentral lists this unclassified non-coding RNA (281 nucleotides) under Hevea brasiliensis (rubber tree). The record is from RNAcentral. Lineage: Eukaryota; Viridiplantae; Streptophyta; Magnoliopsida; Malpighiales; Euphorbiaceae.
GCCAAGGAUGCCUUUCGGGCCUGAGGCACAGCUGAAGGUAUGAAUGUCGGGGGAAUCGAGGAGAUCGGUGCAACGGAACUGGCAUCCAUCGGUGGUUCAGAAUGUUUAGGAUGAGAAGCUGAGGUUUGUAUAGGUUUAACAGCAGUUGGUAGCUCAAUGUUACUACAAGAUCCUACUCCUGCAUUAUGACCCUUAGAAUGCGGAGUUGAAAGGCCAAGGAGUGGCAUUCCUUGGAAACUUUCACCAGGGAAUGAUGAUGUCUUCACCUGACCUGUUGAAAG